AGGAAGUUUCACUUAUAACUAACUUGGAUAUGUCCCUCAAGAUUUCAAUAGGACAAGAUCAAUCAAGAGGCCUUAUUAUCAUCAUAGUAAAACAUCCAUGGAAUGCUCUACGAUGAUUAUCCUGGACCAAAAGAGUAUUUGUGGCAAGCAUGUUGCAUUAGAAUCUAAAAAUAUUAAAGUCAAGAAGGGAUGGUAUUUGCUGGGU
This 205-nucleotide long non-coding RNA is filed under the name Elaeis guineensis (African oil palm). RNAcentral's name for it is "long non-coding RNA (EGUI_LNC051059)". The record is from RNAcentral. Lineage: Eukaryota; Viridiplantae; Streptophyta; Magnoliopsida; Arecales; Arecaceae.